Molecule: non-coding RNA, 394 nt
Organism: Arachis ipaensis
Lineage: Eukaryota; Viridiplantae; Streptophyta; Magnoliopsida; Fabales; Fabaceae
Source: RefSeq, a predicted model, not a curated record
UAAGGGGUAUUCAAGGUGAAGCAUCGAAAGUCUUCCCAGCAAAGGUGGUCUAGGCGGCGUGUCCUGCGGUGUUUUGCGGCGGUGUGAUGGACGAAUACUCGUGGUGGUGGAGGAGCUAGAAAGAGGGGGAGUUGGUGCUUGAUGUGGAGGCUCGCACUUGAGGGGGAGAUUGUUAGUGUUGCAAGUGUGAGGAGUGUUGAAGUUAGUCCCACAUCAAAGAAAGCAUGGAAGAGUGAGGAGUUUAUAAGAUGAGAGACCCAUUAACUUGACACCUUAAGGUUUUGAGUUGGAUGUGGUGUCUUCUCAUCUUAUGUUCUCUCACUUGAUUCCUCCCCGAAUUCUCCCCGGUUGUCGAGAGCUCCCCACGGUUGGCCCAACAAAUAUUAGAAGCAGA